This 373-nucleotide ribosomal RNA is filed under the name uncultured organism. RNAcentral describes it as "partial 16S ribosomal RNA". It matches the Rfam family "Bacterial small subunit ribosomal RNA", at positions 527 to 896 of the family's 1533-position model. The record is from RNAcentral.
GUAGGUGGCAAGCGUUGUCCGGAAUUAUUGGGCGUAAAGCGCGCGCAGGCGGUCCUUUAAGUCUGAUGUGAAAGCCCACGGCUCAACCGUGGAGGGUCAUUGGAAACUGGGGGACUUGAGUACAGAAGAGGAAAGCGGAAUUCCAAGUGUAGCGGUGAAAUGCGUAGAGAUUUGGAGGAACACCAGUGGCGAAGGCGGCUUUCCGGUCUGUAACUGACGCUGAGGCGCGAAAGCGUGGGGAGCAAGCAGGAUUAGAUACCCUGGUAGUCCACGCCGUAAACGAUGAGUGCUAAGUGUUAGGGGGUUUCCCGCCCCCUUAGUGCUGCAGCUAACGCAUUAAGCACUCCGCCUGGGGAGUACGGCCGCAAGGCUG